GGUUCCGUAGUGUAGUGGUUAUCACGUUUGCUUUACACGCAAAAGGUCCCCGGUUCGAUCCCGGGCGGAACCA
This is a non-coding RNA of Stegodyphus mimosarum, 73 nucleotides long. Lineage: Eukaryota; Metazoa; Arthropoda; Arachnida; Araneae; Eresidae. The record is from Rfam.